This is a non-coding RNA of Delphinapterus leucas (beluga whale), 1405 nucleotides long. NCBI's taxonomy places the organism in Eukaryota, Metazoa, Chordata, Mammalia, Artiodactyla, Monodontidae. The record is from RefSeq and is a predicted model, not a curated record.
CGUCGGCAAGGGCCGCGGUGGGCCUGCCGAGGACUACCGGGCAACCCGGCCGUGAAAGUCCGGGUCCCGAACGUAGAAAAAGAGCGCGGGCCGCGGGGCGGAGCCUUUGUAGAGGUUCUCGCGGGAACAGCGACCCCUUCAGGAUCGCCGCGGGGCGCGCCGGGAGCUUGGCCAGUUCCGCCUCGGGGAGGGUCGUGUUCGUUGUCAGGUGCUCGCCGCUGGGCGGCUGAGGCGCUGCGUGUUUGCAAUUAAGCCCCUGAGAACCAAGAGCAGAGACAACCCAAAUACCCCCUUUUUGUUUUAAGUGAAAAUGUGGAAGUUGUAGCAUAAAAUUACAGUAUCUGUGAAAUUAGAACCCCCAGCUCCCUGUCAUCUUGUAGCACCCGCGCCCCGCUGGUCCCUGACGCCUGGAUGGCACUUGGCGAACGUUUGCAGUAUAGGGUCGAAUUUAAUGUCCCCACCGAGCCUGUUGUUCAUUCAUUCAGCAUUAUUGAAUAUCUGCCGUGUACCAGGAUUGAAUCAUGUGCUGGAGAUACCACGCUGAACAAGACUGUCCCUGCCCUCAGGAAGCUCUCAGUUCGGUUACGUGACAACCUUCAGGGACACCCCCUUCCCCCUGCUCCAGUUUUGUUUCUAUUUGCUGCCACAAGGAUUUUGUGACUGCCUAACGUGCUGGAUUACAAGAUCAACACUAGGUGCAUACUUGGUGCGAAAUACGGUGCCCAGGACACCAAGUGCCGGGUGGAGAACGUAUAAGAUGUUUCCUUUACACAAGUUGGAAAGAUGGAUACUCCCCAAAUUACAGCUCAAACCAUGUGACAGCUUGCUCAAGCAUCUUCAGUCUCCAUUGCCUACCAAUGGUUUCUGAAGAGAAUUCUUAUCCUGCUCCUUUGUAGGUAAGGCGUUUUUUAUUUCCAGCUUCUUUCAAGACUUUUUGUCUUUAUUUUCUGCAAUUUGAAUAUGAUAUGCCUAGGUAUAAAUUUUUUUGAAUUUUAUUAUACUUGUUCUCUGAGUUUCCUUAAUAUGUGGUUUAUAUUUGUCAUUAAUUUUGGAAAAUUCUCAGCCAUUAUUCAUAAUUUCUUUUCCUUUCUCUUUCUCCUUCUCCUGCUACUCCCAUUGAAUUUUUGUAAUUGUCACAUAGUUCUUGGAUAUUCUAUUCCAUUUUUUCUCUUCUUUUUUCUCUUUGCUUUUCAGAUAUUGACAUAUCUUCAAGCUUACUAAUUCCUUUAUUGGCCAUGUCCAGUCUACUGAUGAGUCCAUCAAAGGCAUUCUUCAUUUCUUUUACAGUGUUUCUGAUUUUUAGCAUUUAAUUUUGAUUCUUUAUUAAGGCUUACAUGUCUCUACUUAUAUUACUUACCUGUUUUUACAUGUUGUCGAUUUUUUAUAUUAGAGCCCUAGGAUAUUU